Molecule: long non-coding RNA, 1307 nt
Organism: Varroa destructor (honeybee mite)
Lineage: Eukaryota; Metazoa; Arthropoda; Arachnida; Mesostigmata; Varroidae
Source: RefSeq, a predicted model, not a curated record
CCUGUAAGCGACGAUGUUGUCUAUUUGAGUCACUUAGCAAUAACGAGUGGUGCAUAGAAAUGUAUUUAGCUAAACGUUAAAGUAAUGGGGAUCGUAUACUUUUAUAGAGAUCGAAACCAAAACACAGAUGCAAAUCCAAGUCGGGUCAAGUGUUAACUUAUCGGCUAUUCGAAUAGUCCAGUGGACAGUCCGAUGAGCAGUGGCGUGUUGUGGUAUAUGCUACGCUUGAGUAAGGCCACAGAAAAAGCAAAGCAAACGGACAAAUCAGCAGUAAGCCGAAGUAGACAAGAGGAUCCCUCGUUAGUUUCUUGCAUAAGAGUUUCCUUGCUAACUCUUGUUCGAAGUCCAUCGAUCAGUCGAGCCAAGUAAGCACCCCUGCUUGGCUCUGUCUCAAAAUUCAGCUUAUUACACCAGCAGCCCGACCAAACUCAGCAUCGUGAAAUCGCGUGGAACAAUUCAGCCGCGAAUGCAGGCACUCGCAUCUAAUGGUCUUGUGGGCGAAACGAGAAGGACCGAAAAAUUUAAAGGGGCUGAGCGCCGGAGAAGGAGGUAGCAAAAGAGAUUUGUAGAAGAAAUCAACGAGCAGAAGUCGUCUGCAAGUUUGCUUUUGCGACUCGACAAAUCGUAAAAUUUAUGGCAACUUUUUUCCAAGUCCCCACGACAAAAUGGGUGGGGGUGCGAGUUGUAGCUGUAAGGUUCAUAGUGGCACAAGAGCCUAUUGAGCCGAUGUUCGCGGGGUUUGUUGUCUCAUAGUCGUUUGGUCGUAGCUCAUGACAGAAGCGAAUACGCACUAAUUAAGUCGCAUGUCAGAGUCAUCAGAAUGGGCUCCACUGGGUUAUGACGGGCGGGUAUGCGCCCGUGUUUUUCCAGGAUAAGCCCGCCCCGUAUAACGCGGAUCGUCUCGAGCAAAGCUUACCAAAGACCUCUCACGUGACUUCGGCUUCUACAAGGCCAUGGCGAAGACAACCGCUGCGGCACGAAAACGGCUUAUGGCAUAUACAAAUCUUCGUGGGUAGAACUCACCAUAGGUGAAUGCCAAUUCACUCGUGCGGGGAAAUUUUGCAAUUCAGUUCAAUAAGUCCACGUCUAUGCGUCACAAACAACAUACUCGGCUUCCUCGGGCAUGGUGCAGGAACAGUGACCUUCGCGUAUAUGAUAUUGAUUUUCUUCCACGUUUAGCCGACGUCGAAAAGCGAUGACAUGUAAACAUCUGCCUCUCUGCAAGGGGGCUGAUAUGGGAUACGUGGUACAAUUCUAUACAUUUGUGCGGCGGGCCGCACGCUGAACGUAAGUGGAAUACAAAAAUA